CAGUCGCCGCGGUAAUACGGAGGGUGCAAGCGUUAUCCGGAUUUAUUGGGUUUAAAGGGUCCGUAGGCGGAUCUGUAAGUCAGUGGUGAAAUCUCACAGCUUAACUGUGAAACUGCCAUUGAUACUGCAGGUCUUGAGUAAAUUUGAAGUGGCUGGAAUAAGUAGUGUAGCGGUGAAAUGCAUAGAUAUUACUUAGAACACCAAUUGCGAAGGCAGGUCACUAAGAUUUAACUGACGCUGAUGGACGAAAGCGUGGGGAGCGAACAGGAUUAGAUACCCCGGUAGUCCCUGUCUCUUAUAC
Molecule: ribosomal RNA, 301 nt
Filed under: uncultured bacterium
Lineage: Bacteria
Description: partial 16S ribosomal RNA
Rfam family: Bacterial small subunit ribosomal RNA
Source: RNAcentral